GAACGCUGGCGGCGUGCUUAACACAUGCAAGUCGAACGAGAACGGAUUAUAGCUUGCUAUAAUUGUCAGCUAAGUGGCGCACGGGUGAGUAAUAUAUAGAUAACCUGCCCUCUAGAAAGGAAUAACAGUUGGAAACGACUGCUAAUGCCCUAUAUGCCUUUAAUACAUAAGUAUGCAAGGGAAACGCUUUAGUGCUAGAGGAUGGGUCUGUAUGGUAUCAGCUUGUUGGUGAGGUAAUGGCUCACCAAGGCUAUGACGCCUAACUGGUUUGAGAGGAUGAUCAGUCACACUGGAACUGAGACACGGUCCAGACUCCUACGGGAGGCAGCAGUAAGGAAUAUUGGGCAAUGGACGGAAGUCUGACCCAGCCAUCCCGCGUGCAGGACGAAUGCCCUAUGGGUUGUAAACUGCUUUGUUUGGGAAGAAAUGUAUUCUUUAAGAGUAUUUGACGGUACCAGACGAAUAAGCACCGGCUAACUACGUG
RNAcentral lists this ribosomal RNA (484 nucleotides) under uncultured bacterium. RNAcentral's name for it is "bacterial SSU rRNA". It matches the Rfam family "Bacterial small subunit ribosomal RNA", at positions 31 to 507 of the family's 1533-position model. The record is from RNAcentral.